AGAGAGGGGGGGGGGGGAAUAAGCAUAAAACGUGUGGAGAGAGAGAGAGAAUAUCACGUGUAUGAUGCAUGUCAGGAAACGUGUCCUUCCCUUCGGAUGAAACACAAAAGAGAGACACAUGUUCGGACACGUUAUGUAUGUGUGACUCACGUAGGCAGGUGUGUGUAUAUACGUGCAACCUAAGACAGGCGGACAUAUAAGAACAUAGGGAGUCUGCAAGAGGCAGAAUGGCCUGCACAAGGCAGCUUCAGAUUCCCCCUCACUACCACCUGUCAUCCUCGUCCAUGUAGCUAUCAAGUCUACUCUUAAACAAGGCUUUUUAAUCCCUAAAGAAGCCUUGCAAUUUCAAACUUGACUUUACGUGGCCUAACCUGGAAUUGUCUCAUCUAACCCAGCCUUGCCGAAACAAAUUACACUUGGAGAGAGAGAGAGAGAGAGAGAGAGGAGGAAAAUAAUCACAUACUCAUACGACGGAAAUGAUGUUAAAGCAAGUUAAGUUUCGUCCCGUUGCAUUACACAAGAGUAGGUUGGGUUAUUAUAAUCAACAUUAGCAUUCCUGCAGAACUUAAAACUCUCCCAACGCUCUUUGUCUUAUGGAUGCUGCCUCUGUAAUGCUUUUGUUUAUCAAUUUCACCUCUCCCGCUGCUGGUUCUUUGUUUGGUCUGGCUUCUAUAGUUGCCACUCUUUCUCCAGUUGUCUUUCAUUUAUCAAUCAUACGCUUGAUAUUACCCACCCAUGCUUGUUUGUUGCCUAUUUGACAUUAAAAUAUCUUCUUCGUUUAUUUGCUCCCUAGCUUUUGAAGGAACGUCACCUGUCACUGCUAAGUGAAUUUUCUAAGGAAAGUUGAAUAGUAGAUGAAAGAAAACAAGGAUACUGAGGAAUUGGUGGUGGUGAAAAUAUAGUGUGUGUGUGUGUGUGUGUUUGUGUGUGUCAAAGCUGGCCUCACCUGGCAGGAUGUACGGUAAUAUAUUCACUUUAACCCACGUGGGAUGUGCUAGACCAGACAACGCUGCACUAGUUUAAGUUAGGUUAGAUUGGAUUAGCUAAGGACCUCUCAAUUGAAUGAACCUCCUUCAUUAUUGGAGGCGUCUUGCAUCCGUGCUGUAACAGACUACCCAGGGAUUGCGUGAGAAACCUUUUUCACAUAGGCUAUUCCCUGUAACACACACACACACACACACACACACACACACACAAGUAAGCACAUGUGAGCACUUAAUAUAGCUUGUCUACGCAUGAUUUUCUCUCUCUCUCUCUCUCUCUCUCUCUCUCUCUCUCUCUCUCUCUCUCUCAUACAUACAUACACCACAACAUAUCAACACAUGUUUUAGCACGAUCAAGUAGACAGGCUAGAACGGGGGGGAAAACGAGUAGGUAGAUGACGCACCAGAGAGAGACAGACGGCGGAAUCCACACGCGAGAGGAAAAAAGAAACACUGGCAACUGUUUGACGUCGACAGUGCCAUCGGCUGACGUCAGAAGGGGAAGUCUUGCGCCACCUACACCCUCUCCUCCCCACCUUCCGUCUCUCUCUCUCUCUCUCUCUCUCUCUCUCUCUCUCUCUCUCAGGCCUUCCGUCUCCCUCCUAACCACCCACACCAUCCAUGAUCUCUCUCUCUCUCUUUCUCUCUUCAGGAAAGCCCACGCCUCCUCGUUUUCUUCCCCUUUCCAUCUUUUCUGCCUAUUCCUUCUCAUUCUUCAUAUUCUUUACCCUUUUCCCACCCCCCUCUUCCUCCCUUCUCAACCUUCUCUCACUCUGAACCUUACUUCCCCGCUCUCACUUUCCUUCUUCCUUCAUUUUUCACUUCCCAACCCUACUCGACCCCUUCCCGUCUCCCUCCCCUCCCCCUUUAUAGUCGUAUGUCCUCGUGAGGGAGCUAAAGAUAGUCAUGGCGGUGGCGGCCAGGUGGUGGUGGACUACUACUACUACUACUAUUAGUAAUAAUAAUAACAGAUUAAUUUAAUAAUUUUAUCCCCCUGAGAAGUUAAUGAUGAAGAGAGAGAGAGAGAGAGAGAGAGAGAGAGAGAGAGAGAUUUAACCUGAGAGAGAGAGAGAAAGAGAGGGAGGGAGAGGUAAAGGUGUGGACCAAUGACGACCGACUCUCGUCACCUGCUGGCGUAUUCGCAUCCCAUGAAAAAUAAAUAAACAAAUAGAAUCCAAUUUAUGUCUACGAACCCGGUGCAGACACAACCCUGAACACACACCCUUCCCUCCCUGACUCACACUUAGCCACAGCACGACUACCAUCCUCUGAACGCACGGCGGAGUAUUAUGCGUAGUAGAAAAUAAAAGGCUGUGGGGGAAUCGAAUGCGCUCGCCGCUCAGUGAAGGUCGCCAUGGCAGGGUGUUGCCACAUCCGCUCUUUACUUGUUGCAUUCACGUGGCGCCCGCCCUCCCUCUCUGCCACCUUCUGAAUGUUGUUAUUUUCCCUUUAAUACUAUUUUGACGGUGGUCGCUACGGAAAAGUGGAACGCCAAGCCAGAGUCGAGGGAUACGAACGAAGUCAGCAGUGUUCCGGUUUUCCAAGUACAGAUUUGCCGGGAAAAGAUGUCAGCUGGAGAUUUCCCUGCCCUCCACCUCCACUACCUCCCCCUUUUCUUCCCCCUCCUCCUCCUCCAUCCUGGAAGAGAAAAUCCAGGAGUGGCUGCCUCGGUGAAAGGUCACAUCCUGCUGGGAAGGACUUGAGAUGGAUAGGGCAUCUGCAUGGGAGGUUCGUCAAGGAGACCAUCAGGAGUAUAAGUGGCAAUUAUUUGAUCAAGGUGGUUAGUUUGAAUAAGUAGUAAAUUUUGGGAAUAUGGAGAUGAGGAUAGCCCUCUCUGUCACCAUUGACAACAAUGGUGGCAUAUUUAUUGUAAACAUAGUUAACAUAUUUAUUGUAAACAAUUAAACUCGAUAAUAAAACUAAACACAACCUAAUAUAACCUGACCUAACUUACCCAACUACAUCUCACCUAACCCAUUCUAACCUGAACCCCCAGCUGCCAAAAUAUGAUGUACUAGAUUGUGCUCAUAAAAUUAUAGAUCAAUAUUUUGAUGUUUCUUUAGUUUUCUGGAAGCUAUUAGUUACUGCACUGCAUUCAGAGAAAUGAAAUAUAAUACAUGUCAGUAUUAGCCUCAUGCAAAAUGGUUGCUCUUCUUUCCAUAUAUAUAACUAAUAAUCUUAACUAACUAACUAAUGGGGAUCAUAAACCUGGGGGUGUGUUGCUCCACUCAAUUGCCACCUAUACUCCUGAUGGUCCCAUCGAGCAAGCUCCCACGCAGCUGCUCUAUCCAUCUCAAGUCCUUCCUAGCAGGAUCAGUUGACUUGCCCCAGCCAUGAGUUAUAUGGGCAUCCCCUUGGUCUCCUUCACUUAGGGUUAUCUCAUACAGAAACAACCCUGUGAGCAGAACUGAUGUCUGGGAGGCGUGCCAUGGUGCUUGUAUAGGCGGAGUUGGCAUUCACCAGUUAAGCUGGUAAUGACGUUAUGAACAAGUACAUCAAACAUUAGUUUUGGUGGAUAACAUCCUUAUACUGUUGACGGCCCUGCGGAGUGCUGUGCUGGCAGCGUAGCGGGGCCUGAAACCUCAUCAACGGUAAAUGAUAGCAGGUCUUGGUUCAACUUCACAGAGUAGCCACAGAAAAGACAUAAUUUUGAGGUUAUUCCAGUGCCCACCUGCCUCUAAAAUAGUAACCCCAUUGAAGACACAACGGCAAAGCAAAACCACACAAUUACAACCAAACUUAACACCUACGGUUGUAUUUUUGCUCUCUUCAGCAGA
Long non-coding RNA from Eriocheir sinensis (Chinese mitten crab), 3760 nucleotides. RefSeq lists it as uncharacterized. Lineage: Eukaryota; Metazoa; Arthropoda; Malacostraca; Decapoda; Varunidae. The transcript has 3 exons. The record is from RefSeq and is a predicted model, not a curated record.